This is a long non-coding RNA of Sapajus apella (tufted capuchin), 684 nucleotides long. RefSeq lists it as uncharacterized. NCBI's taxonomy places the organism in Eukaryota, Metazoa, Chordata, Mammalia, Primates, Cebidae. The record is from RefSeq and is a predicted model, not a curated record. The transcript is spliced from 4 exons.
GUCGGUUUACUGUGAGUGUGGAAGCCUACUGUGUGCUAGGCAUUUGUGUCACUGUGAGCAUGGGAGCCUAUUGUGUGCUAGGCGUGCAGGCACCUUCAGGGAUACAACCCCUUCGACCAGGGCUGUGCCAGCAACUGGUAUUUAACAAUCUGUGCACCACGGGGCCCCAAGUACAUGGCUGAAGCUGUCCAGCUGCAGACAGCGGUGGGGCCUGACUGGACACCCAUGCCGAACCUGCACUCCCCUACGUCCCCCCAGGCCUGCCCUUGCCUCCAGCCCCAACCUCUGCGUCCCUACAAACCAGGGAAGGGGCCCCCAGGGAGUGGUGAGGCUGCGGCUCUCCAGGAGCCUAACACGGGGCCGGUGCGGCCCCUGCUGCUGGAGGGCCCCAGGCGAGGCUCCGCCUUCCUCUCGCCCCUGUGCGCCCGGAGAUGCCCACAGCACCAGUGCCUGAGCCCACCUCCUGAGCCCACCUCCUGAGACACCGCCUGAGCCCACCUCCUGAGCCCACCUCCUGAGACACCGCCUGAGCCCACCUCCUGAGCCCACCUCCUGAGACACCGCCUGAGCUCACCUUCUGAACCCACCUCCUGAGUGGAAGCCUUUCUGUGCCCUGCCCUUGCCCUUCCCUGGUGGGAGUGCCAAGACCCUCAAUGCCCAUUAAAUACCCUUGCCUGCCCCUUA